This 492-nucleotide ribosomal RNA is filed under the name uncultured bacterium. RNAcentral describes it as "partial 16S ribosomal RNA". It matches the Rfam family "Bacterial small subunit ribosomal RNA", at positions 29 to 507 of the family's 1533-position model. The record is from RNAcentral.
AGUGAACGCUGGCGGUAGGCCUAACACAUGCAAGUCGAACGGCAGCACAGUAAGAGCUUGCUCUUACGGGUGGCGAGUGGCGGACGGGUGAGGAAUACAUCGGAAUCUACUUUUUCGUGGGGGAUAACGUAGGGAAACUUACGCUAAUACCGCAUACGACCUACGGGUGAAAGCAGGGGAUCUUCGGACCUUGCGCGAUUGAAUGAGCCGAUGUCGGAUUAGCUAGUUGGCGGGGUAAAGGCCCACCAAGGCGACGAUCCGUAGCUGGUCUGAGAGGAUGAUCAGCCACACUGGAACUGAGACACGGUACAGACUCCUACGGGAGGCAGCAGUGGGGAAUAUUGGACAAGGGGAGCAAGCCUGAUCCAGCCAUACCGCGUGGGUGAAGAAGGCCUUCGGGUUGUAAAGCCCUUUUGUUGGGAAAGAAAAGCAGCAGGUUAAUACCCCGCUGUUCUGACGGUACCCAAAGAAUAAGCACCGGCUAACUUCGUG